This is a long non-coding RNA of Pocillopora damicornis (cauliflower coral), 1468 nucleotides long. The record is from RefSeq and is a predicted model, not a curated record. NCBI's taxonomy places the organism in Eukaryota, Metazoa, Cnidaria, Anthozoa, Scleractinia, Pocilloporidae.
ACGUUGAUAAAACAAAGUGCGCUAUCUUCUGUAUGACGGGUUACACAUUAGAACAUAUGUCAACCGUUCAAACAACCCUGGGAAAGAACUCGAGUGAUACGCGUGCGCGAGAGCACCGAACUCAGGGGAUAACUUUUCGUCGCGCACGUUUCUUGACCUCUCGCACGCGCGCGAGAAGGAGCGUCUUUUCUCAAGCUGCGUCGCUUUGGUUGGGUUCACAAACCAUUUAAUCUCAUGUUAUGGAACACAAAGCGUAAAUAAAGAAACCGAAUCCCUUACUUCCACCGUCAAAACGAACGUGUAGGUAAGUCAAAUACGACUUUCCGGUGGCCUCUGUAGCUGUUGGGUAAAGCAAGGACGUGUGACCCAGGAUGUUCUGGUUAUUUGAGAACGAUUUAAAAAUCUAUUGAACACUCUCAGCCUGCGGCUUUGGUUUUUAACCUUGGUUCUGAAACUGAUCUCUUGUUCUCGUGUUUCGUAUUACCAGAAUAAGCUACAAGAAGGUCGACUUCAUGCGCAAGCACACAACUAACCGUUCAGUAAUUAGCCCGGACCGGUUUAUCUUGUUUGAAUUCCUGUCAUAUUGUGAAACAGACAACUCAAAGGAAUAACGUCGAGAAGAUUUCCGAUUAGAAGUCUUGUAUUUAAGGUCAAGUUUCGACCAAGAUUCUAAUCUAACUUCGUCAAAACCUCAUGAACAAAUCUCCAAGGAAGAACAUUUCAAUUUUUGUUAGUUUAUGAUGAGACUGCUCUCGAAGAACUCAGAAAGAGAGGUGGAUUUCGGAGAACUUCCCACUGUCCUGCUGGACGAGGAUCACACUGUUAUUGUUCUGACAAUAGUAACAAGUUUGUUCGCGAUUUCCUGCAUUGCGCUGUUUUUCUAUUACCACUGGAGAGUCAGUUGUUACCUUGUGGAAACACGAAUUGGGAUUCAAGGAAACGAUUUUAUUUAUUUGUAUUAUUCCAAGCGUUCGUAAAGGAAUCAUUUGCCGAGACACUUUAAUGAGGUUGACCCUGGUGGCCUGUAAACUUUGUCCGGUUAAUCGGAUCUGUUGCAAGAUUUGUGUUUCUUCUUUGCUCAUGUGACGGGCGUGAACUAUAUUUUUAUGUCUCGUGUAUAGACGAUUACCACUUUAAAUCAUUUUGUUGCGCAAGGAACCAUAGUAUCUGAUUCCCGUGGGGUAAACCCCCGUGUUUUCCAGGGGGAUUUUAAAGUCAUCAAGACAUUGACAGACGAAGUCCCCGUGAUGGUUGCCCCCUUAGGAGCCUACUUAUGGCUCUUAUGAGUUCAGUGACUUCUGGGCCGGCUGACAUGGGUGAAACACUGAAAACUGAUUAUCAGAGCUUCUCAAUGUGUUUUUGUGUAAGUAUUCGCAUGAUUUCGAGUGAAAUUUGGAAUAACUUAGCCCGAGUAAUUUUCCUUAAGGCUAACGAAAUUGCGCGGGGCGAUUGCAAUUUUUAGUUUUUU